CAUUGAACAUCGAUAUCUUGAACGCACAUUGCGGGCCUCGGGCAAUCCCGAGGCCACGCCUGUCUCAGGGUCGGUUUAACAUAUCAAUCGUCGGUCGUCCUCAGAAUGCCGACGCAUUGGAUCGUCGUGGCGAGCGGGUGAAUGGUACCUUGACCGGGGUUCGAGCGGUGAUGUUUUGCGAGCAGAGCGAUUCAGCGUGCAUUCGCAAACGUCACCGUCUCGAGCUGCCUGCCGCCGCGUCGUCCGAAGAACAGACGGGACCGCCGCGUGACCACGCCGGCCGCACGUUCUAAGUCCGCCAGCCGGUGGACGGGGACGGCGACUCGGAAGUCGAAAUACGAUGUCUGCCGUCGCCCGUCGUGGCGGUACGGUCGGCGUCGGUCGCGCAAUGGACCCACGAAGCUCUGCGAAC
Molecule: unclassified non-coding RNA, 412 nt
Filed under: Limnodrilus udekemianus
Lineage: Eukaryota; Metazoa; Annelida; Clitellata; Tubificida; Naididae
Description: sequence contains ITS2
Rfam family: 5.8S ribosomal RNA (bases 1-73)
Source: RNAcentral